Long non-coding RNA from Physeter macrocephalus (sperm whale), 2141 nucleotides. RefSeq lists it as uncharacterized. Lineage: Eukaryota; Metazoa; Chordata; Mammalia; Artiodactyla; Physeteridae. The record is from RefSeq and is a predicted model, not a curated record. The transcript is spliced from 3 exons.
UAGUGGGAUUGCUGGGUCGUAUGGUAGUUCUAUUUGUAGUUUUUUAAGGAACCUCCAUACUGUUCUCCAUAGGGUCCACCCCUUUUUAUAUUGACUUCAUCCUUCUUGUCAUCCUUCUGAUUCAUCCAUUCCUCUCAAUCUUCUUAUAAAUGCACAUAAAAUUUCACCGCCUUUGUUGUUGAAACAAAACACUAUUCUUGCUAUCUUUUAAUUAAACUCGAGGUAAAGAAAUAAAAAAGAUGGGCAGAUAAAGUAGUUAUUUCAGGAGAGACCUACACAUUAGACUCUAAAGCCUUGGUUCUCAAUAGGGAGCAAUUUUGGCCCCCAGGAGACAUUUGGCAAUAUCUGCACACAUUUUUGGUUGUCAUGACUGGGGGUGGGUGGGUUUCUACAGGAAUCUAGUGAGUAGAGGCCACAGAGGCUACAAACCAUUUCACAAUGCACACAGGACAGCCUCUGACCACAAAGAAUUAUCUGAUUCAAAGUGCCAGAAUUGAGAAACACUGCUCUAAAGGAAUACUUAAAAUUGUGAGUACACAUUUUUAAAUAAUGAAACAUAUUAAAUUUAUAAAAUAGGAUUGAGAAAAAUAUGGAUUUACUUAUGCCUACAGCAUGGACUUUACUUUUGACCCGCAAAGUUUGUUUUACAUUGAUGAAUAGCCUGAUGAUAUUGCCUUGUAGUCAGUGUCUUCAUCUACUUGGUCUGCUAUAACAAAAAUACCAUGGACUGGGUGGCUUAAACAACAGACAUUUGUUUCUCAUAGUUCUGGGGUCUGGGAAGUCCAAGAUCAAGGUGCCAGCAGAUUCAGUCAUACGUAUGAGACCCUACCUCCAAAUACCUAUACAUUGGGGAUUAGGAUUUCAACAUAUGAAUUUUGGGGGGAAGUAAACUUUCAGCCCAUAACAGUCAACAAAAUAAAUCUGCUUUAAAUCUAGCCAAGGACAGACAGUAUCAUAAUUUCAGUGGAAAAAAAUCUGUAAAUUACAUUAAAUAAGCUUAUUGAAAAAAAUCUCUUUCAAGUGUUAGCACUAUGCUGUUACACUUCAUAAUCCACAUCUCCAUUUUCUUUACAUAUGUCCCUGCAUCAUUGAAGGUGUUACGAUACAGAGGAAGAACUUGGCCCGGGAGGCAGAAAACCUGGGCUGCAGUCUGGACUGGGCUAAGAACAUUAAGGUUUUUAGUACAACUGACGUCUUAGAAGGCCCUUCCUUUCCAGGGAAGUCACUAAUCAAGGCAGCCAUUGUAUAGACUUUAUGGAUGUGAUUCGUUUCGGUGUUGGUCUUCCCCGGUGGACAGUGAUGGGCUUCACAGGAGGGAAGUGUCUUCAUUUUCACGUCGCCAGUGCCUGGCACAAAGCAGGUACUCAGCAAAGGGUGGUGUGUCAGGUUGAUUUUCUCAGUCACUCCUGACCUCUCUCCCUACGGUGGAUGCAUGUUGGUUUGUCACUGUCCCUCUUUAGAAGUGAUCCCAGAAUGAAAAAAACGUUUUCCAGAUUUUAGCCCUUCAGGGUACAGAGUGCCCAUCGGCUCUGGAAACCAGGUUUUCCUCGGCUUUCACUUUCUAAUCUAAACGUAAGCCUUUAUUUGUAUCUCUGAUAAAUGUAAUCUUGUUUCCUGCAGGAAAGGAUAACUUCAUCUUGCCAGACCAAAACGAAAAAUCUCAGUUUUAAUUCUGUCAUCUGUCACAUCUACUCUAUCAACCAGUUUGAUGUCAUCUGUGUAUGGGAGGAUAAUGUGAAAUAUGUGCAUUAGCCUUUUUAAUGCAAUUGUGUAUUUAGUGCCAAAGAAAAAAAUAUCCAGUAUGUCAAAUUAUUUAUUGGGAAAUUUUUAUUUUUCUAAUUCAAGAUUCUAAAAAACUACAUUCCUCUCUCUUUCCACCCACCACCAAAGCUUUAGAUAGCUUUGGAAAAAUAUGUCAUCAUUUAAUAUAUAUGUCCUCUGCCUAAUAUCUGCCUGACCCCUACAGACCCUCUAUGUGUCCCAGCUAUGCACUCCAAUAGCAUCCUGUACAUUCACUAACAUAGAGCUCAUCACAUCUCAUGGCAUAGUUUGUAUCACUGUCUCUAUCCCUUACCAGUCGACAGUCUCAAUAUUUAUAUUUUACUCAAUAUCUCAAUUGCUUAGCACACUGCCUGACUAAA